CGUCCACCGGCCUCCUCUCCACCCGCUGGCGCUCGCUCUGGCGCUCCACCGGAGCCGUCAACCUCGCCGUCCGGCCUCAUCCACCGGGGCAACGACGACUUCUCCCUCCACGACGCGUUUGUCUGCUCCGCCCACGCCGCGCUCGCCGACGUGUUCCUGCACCGCGACCCGCAGGAUUGGGAGAGGAAGCACGAUGUGGUCGCUGGUGUCGUCUCCCACCCAGUGGCGCGCCGCGUCGAGGAGCUCCGUGUCGCCGCCGUCAAGUCCGCCGACGAGCCGUCGUCCGACAAGGAGGUCGCGGAGAUGGAAGGGGAGUUCCACCUCUCCCUCCGCAGCAACACACAGCCGUCGGAGACGCUCCACGUGCUCGAUGUCACCGGGUACGGCAGCUUCUCCCUCUCCGCCGGCGGCGCUCCCGCGGCUGACGACGCUGCGGCUGCGGCUGUCAAGGACCUGCAGGGCGUCGUCGACUCCGCGCCGGCGCUCGCCACCGUGCACCUCGAGUCCGUCUUCCUCGCCGGGGCGAAAGAAGAUGGCUGCGCCCGCGCCCGCCCGGGCAGUGCACCACGUCGGCGUGCGUCGGGAGAUAGAGGAAAAGAAAAGAAGAGAAAGAGAGGAACUCGUGUGCUGGGAUGCCGCCGUGCGUCGUCGCUGUCGGAGUGAACCCCGGCGA
Molecule: long non-coding RNA, 673 nt
Filed under: Oryza sativa Indica Group (long-grained rice)
Lineage: Eukaryota; Viridiplantae; Streptophyta; Magnoliopsida; Poales; Poaceae
Description: lncRNA OsZS97_11G012350
Source: RNAcentral